GCGGUGCCACCGUGCACUGCGCACACGUGUAAACCCCAAAGGCGUAGACAACUCGAACAAGUUUGUACGGGGAUUACGGGCUCGGCACUGGCGCAAGCCUUCGUCGGGCCCCUCCAUCCCGGGGUGUCCCACCGAGCGGGCCUCCGGGUCCGCUGUGGGCAUCCCUCGAGUGCGUAGGAUGCGACCCGAAAGAUGGUGAACUAUGCCUGAUCAGGCCGAAGUCAGGGGAAACCCUGAUGGAGGGCCGAAGCAAUUCUGACGUGCAAAUCGAUUGUCAGAGUUGGGCAUAGGGGCGAAAGACCAAUC
Molecule: ribosomal RNA, 306 nt
Filed under: Anopheles dravidicus
Lineage: Eukaryota; Metazoa; Arthropoda; Insecta; Diptera; Culicidae
Description: eukaryotic LSU rRNA
Rfam family: Eukaryotic large subunit ribosomal RNA
Source: RNAcentral